Molecule: ribosomal RNA, 1436 nt
Filed under: uncultured organism
Description: SSU rRNA
Rfam family: Bacterial small subunit ribosomal RNA
Source: RNAcentral
UGACAGGCUUAACACAUGCAAGUCGAGGGGCAGCACAGGUAGCAAUACCGGGUGGCGACCGGCGCACGGGUGAGUAACGCGUAUGCAACUUACCUAUCAGAGGGGGAUAACCCGGCGAAAGUCGGACUAAUACCGCAUGAAGCAGGGGCCCCGCAUGGGGAUAUUUGCUAAAGAUUCAUCGCUGAUAGAUAGGCAUGCGUUCCAUUAGGCAGUUGGCGGGGUAACGGCCCACCAAACCGACGAUGGAUAGGGGUUCUGAGAGGAAGGUCCCCCACAUUGGUACUGAGACACGGACCAAACUCCUACGGGAGGCAGCAGUGAGGAAUAUUGGUCAAUGGCCGAGAGGCUGAACCAGCCAAGUCGCGUGAGGGAUGAAGGUUCUAUGGAUCGUAAACCUCUUUUAUAAGGGAAUAAAGUGCGGGACGUGUCCCGUUUUGUAUGUACCUUAUGAAUAAGGAUCGGCUAACUCCGUGCCAGCAGCCGCGGUAAUACGGAGGAUCCGAGCGUUAUCCGGAUUUAUUGGGUUUAAAGGGUGCGUAGGCGGCCUUUUAAGUCAGCGGUGAAAGUCUGUGGCUCAACCAUAGAAUUGCCGUUGAAACUGGGAGGCUUGAGUAUGUUUGAGGCAGGCGGAAUGCGUGGUGUAGCGGUGAAAUGCAUAGAUAUCACGCAGAACCCCGAUUGCGAAGGCAGCCUGCCAAGCCAUUACUGACGCUGAUGCACGAAAGCGUGGGGAUCAAACAGGAUUAGAUACCCUGGUAGUCCACGCAGUAAACGAUGAUCACUAGCUGUUUGCGAUACACUGUAAGCGGCACAGCGAAAGCGUUAAGUGAUCCACCUGGGGAGUACGCCGGCAACGGUGAAACUCAAAGGAAUUGACGGGGGCCCGCACAAGCGGAGGAACAUGUGGUUUAAUUCGAUGAUACGCGAGGAACCUUAUCCGGGUUUGAACGCAUUCGGACCGAGGUGGAAACACCUUUUCUAGCAAUAGCCGUUUGCGAGGUGCUGCAUGGUUGUCGUCAGCUCGUGCCGUGAGGUGUCGGCUUAAGUGCCAUAACGAGCGCAACCCUUGCCACUAGUUACUAACAGGUAAAGCUGAGGACUCUGGUGGGACUGCCAGCGUAAGCUGCGAGGAAGGCGGGGAUGACGUCAAAUCAGCACGGCCCUUAUAUCCAGGGCGACACACGUGUUACAAUGGCGUGGACAAAGGGAAGCCACCUGGCGACAGGGAGCGAAUCCCCAAACCACGUCUCAGUUCGGAUCGGAGUCUGCAACCCGACUCCGUGAAGCUGGAUUCGCUAGUAAUCGCGCAUCAGCCAUGGCGCGGUGAAUACGUUCCCGGGCCUUGUACACACCGCCCGUCAAGCCAUGGGAGCCGGGGGUACCUGAAGUCCGUAACCGCGAGGAUCGGCCUAGGGUAAAACUGGUGACUGGGGCUA